UACGUAGGGUGCAAGCGUUGUCCGGAAUUAUUGGGCGUAAAGAGCUCGUAGGCGGUUUGUUGCGUCGGCUGUGAAAUCCCGAGGCUCAACCUCGGGUCUGCAGUCGAUACGAGCAAAAUAGAGUGUUGCAGGGGAGACUGGAAUUCCUGGUGUAGCGGUGAAAUGCGCAGAUAUCAGGAGGAACACCGGUGGCGAAGGCGGGUCUCUGGGCAACAACUGACGCUGAGGAGCGAAAGCGUAGGGAGCAAACAGG
RNAcentral lists this ribosomal RNA (253 nucleotides) under uncultured bacterium. Its description in RNAcentral is "partial 16S ribosomal RNA". It matches the Rfam family "Bacterial small subunit ribosomal RNA", at positions 524 to 776 of the family's 1533-position model. The record is from RNAcentral.